RNAcentral lists this ribosomal RNA (253 nucleotides) under uncultured bacterium. Its description in RNAcentral is "partial 16S ribosomal RNA". It matches the Rfam family "Bacterial small subunit ribosomal RNA", at positions 524 to 776 of the family's 1533-position model. The record is from RNAcentral.
UACGUAGGUGGCAAGCGUUGUCCGGAAUUAUUGGGCGUAAAGCGCGCGCAGGCGGUCUUUUAAGUCUGAUGUGAAAGCCCACGGCUCAACCGUGGAGGGUCAUUGGAAACUGGGAGACUUGAGUGCAGAAGAGAAGAGCGGAAUUCCACGUGUAGCGGUGAAAUGCGUAGAGAUGCGGCGGAACACCGAUGGCGAAGGCAGCCCCCUGGGCUGAGAUUGACGCUCAGGCACGAAAGCGUGGGGAGCAAACAGG